This 865-nucleotide long non-coding RNA is filed under the name Bos indicus x Bos taurus (hybrid cattle). Its description in RNAcentral is "lncRNA (ENSBIXG00000006925.1)". Lineage: Eukaryota; Metazoa; Chordata; Mammalia; Artiodactyla; Bovidae. The record is from RNAcentral.
AUGGUGGCCCCCGCCCUCCACCCCCCGCCUCGGCUCCUCCCCCUCGGCCUCCUGCCGCCGCCACCAGGACACUCGAGUCCGCCUCCCCCACCCCGCCCGCUCAGAGCGCUCCUCCCCUCCCCACGCGGCGGCGGGGAGGGGGGGUACGGCGGCACCGCCAGUCACCGCCGCGCCUGUCAAACCCGGGCCGGCUAUUUAUACCCCGCGGGGCCCCGCCGCCCUCGACCCACACCAGCCCGCCCAACAUGCUUCCGUGGCCGUCUCGAAUCUCGCCCGCCCUGUAGCCCCCCAACUUCUCAAACCCGCCUUCUCAGCUCACAUCUUUCAGAGCGACCACAUGGAGAGAAAGAAUGGGAGACUGUCAGACAGCAGCAUCUUGAAAUAACCUUUCCCAUCAAUGAGAUGCAGAGGUGUCAGCCAGAUAGAUCUCUGUUGACCCAGGUUCAACCAGAAGGCAAUGGCACCCCACUCCAGUACUCUUGCCUGGAAAAUCCCAUGGACCAAGGAGCCUGGUGGGCUGCAGUCCAUGGGGUCACGAAGAGUCGGACACAACUGAGCGACUUCCCUUUCACUCUUUACUUUCAUGCAUUGGAGAAGGAAAUGGCGACCCACUCCAGUGUUCUUGCCUGGAGAAUCCCAGGGACGGGGGAGCCUGGUGGGCUGCCGCCUGUGGGGUCCUGCAGAGUCGGACACCACUGAAGCGACUUAGCAGCAGCAGCAGCAGAGAAGUGAAAUCCUUCCGUCAAUAAUUUACCCAAAAUAUUUGAAAAGGAAUGUUCCAGUGUGGACAAAAAAACAGUAUAGUACUUUUCCUUCUAGGAUAGAACUUAAUAAAAUUUACAGAAAUACCUCCUUGUUAAUUUUU